GAGCGAACAGAUAAGGAGCUUGCUCCUUUGACGUUAGCGGCGGACGGGUGAGUAACACGUGGAUAACCUACCUAUAAGACUGGGAUAACUUCGGGAAACCGGAGCUAAUACCGGAUAACAUAUUGAACCGCAUGGUUCAAUAGUGAAAGGCGGCUUUGCUGUCACUUAUAGAUGGAUCCGCGCCGUAUUAGCUAGUUGGUAAGGUAACGGCUUACCAAGGCAACGAUACGUAGCCGACCUGAGAGGGUGAUCGGCCACACUGGAACUGAGACACGGUCCAGACUCCUACGGGAGGCAGCAGUAGGGAAUCUUCCGCAAUGGGCGAAAGCCUGACGGAGCAACGCCGCGUGAGUGAUGAAGGUCUUCGGAUCGUAAAACUCUGUUAUCAGGGAAGAACAAAUGUGUAAGUAACUGUGCACAUCUUGACGGUACCUGAUCAGAAAGCCACGGCUAACUACGUGCCAGCAGCCGCGGUAAUACGUAGGUGGCAAGCGUUAUCCGGAAUUAUUGGGCGUAAAGCGCGCGUAGGCGGUUUUUUAAGUCUGAUGUGAAAGCCCACGGCUCAACCGUGGAGGGUCAUUGGAAACUGAAAAACUUGAGUGCAGAAGAGGAAAGUGGAAUUCCAUGUGUAGCGGUGAAAUGCGCAGAGAUAUGGAGGAACACCAGUGGCGAAGGCGACUUUCUGGUCUGUAACUGACGCUGAUGUGCGAAAGCGUGGGGAUCAAACAGGAUUAGAUACCCUGGUAGUCCACGCCGUAAACGAUGAGUGCUAAGUGUUAGGGGGUUUCCGCCCCUUAGUGCUGCAGCUAACGCAUUAAGCACUCCGCCUGGGGAGUACGACCGCAAGGUUGAAACUCAAAGGAAUUGACGGGGACCCGCACAAGCGGUGGAGCAUGUGGUUUAAUU
Molecule: ribosomal RNA, 906 nt
Filed under: Staphylococcus sp. C10b
Lineage: Bacteria; Bacillati; Bacillota; Bacilli; Caryophanales; Staphylococcaceae
Description: bacterial SSU rRNA
Rfam family: Bacterial small subunit ribosomal RNA
Source: RNAcentral